GCUGACGUCGCAUAGCCUGGUAUUGCGCUGGAUUUGAAAUCCAGUGUCCCUUGGACUCGGGAGUUCGAAUCUCUCCGUCAGCGCCA
This 86-nucleotide transfer RNA is filed under the name Methanobacteriota archaeon. RNAcentral's name for it is "Euryarchaeota archaeon tRNA-Ser". It matches the Rfam family "tRNA". From Rfam's summary of the family: Transfer RNA (tRNA) molecules are approximately 80 nucleotides in length. Their secondary structure includes four short double-helical elements and three loops (D, anti-codon, and T loops). RNAcentral also lists the same sequence under 2 other names. Lineage: Archaea; Methanobacteriati; Methanobacteriota. The record is from RNAcentral.